RNAcentral lists this long non-coding RNA (11879 nucleotides) under Fragaria vesca (wild strawberry). Its description in RNAcentral is "long non-coding RNA (FVES_LNC003946)". The record is from RNAcentral. Lineage: Eukaryota; Viridiplantae; Streptophyta; Magnoliopsida; Rosales; Rosaceae.
GCUGCAUGGAGAUAUUGCAUUUUGUUAAGGACUUCAUCAGUAAGGCUUGCUGCAAGCUCAUCAACUUUUGAGCCCUCUUUCAAAUUUGUUACUUCUCUAACUUCCUUUGCGAUCUUUUCUUGUAUGUGAAGAUGCUUGCACAUCAUAUAAAUAAACCAUGAGAGAGAGCUAGAUGUCGUGUCUUGUCCGGCGACAGUAACACAGAGGACUAUGUCUCUCAGGUACUUCGGAUCAGUAUCUUUCAGUUCCAAACACCUUGAAACCAAGUCUCUUUUCUUUAGCUGCCAUUGAUCCUCAAUACAUUAUUGAUGAUAAAAUACGAAGUUAAAUCAUCUAUAUGUAAAACAUGGAAGAUUAACUCACAGAUAGGUUAUGUUCUGGAUGUCGCAUAGCUUCAAUCUUGCUAUUGAUUAAUUUAUACACAAAUUGAUCAACCACUUUGAUGUUUUUCUUUAGCUCUGCUUCCUUACCGAUGUUUAAGAAGCGUUUGAUCUUCCACAACUUAUCAAAUAUCCGAUACAGGGCAGCUUCUUGCUGCGCUUCAAAAGCAUGGGAAAACAGGUUACCUUCUUCAUCUUUUCCACUCAUGCUGUCUAGUUCAAUACCAAGUACAAUCUUGAUGAUUGAGUCUAAGGUUGCUUUUCAUAAACAAAUCCUUCCAAAAAAAAAAAAAAACACAUACACACACAAGAUUAAUGAUAUAUCAAAUAGAUAUAACAACUUAAUUGAGACCAAAAUCCAAAACAUACUUGGAUUUCUAUUGCUUUGUUGCUGGUUGCAGCUUCAUAGAUUAUGCCAACAAGUUUAACUGCAUUGGUUUUGAAAACCGAAGUGCUGAAGUCUCUAACUACUUUUGUUGAAAAUUUCAGCACUCAUCAUCUUCCUCUGAUGCUGCCAUUUUGCCCAUCCACUCCGAAGAUCCCAUCACCACAACAUCUGACAAAAUGUUGUAUGUAUAUGACCCCUGCAGCAUGUUGCAUUGGAACUAUGACAUGAAUAAUGUCACAUAUGUAUGAAUUGAACUUCUACACAUUUAAGCAUUCCACAUCAUAUAUACCUUGCCAUAAUUAGUGAAGUUUGUUUUCAGCACAUAUUCCACAUUUGCAGGAUCUGCUGUGUAAAUAGCACCUUUGAAGAAGUCCAGCAGCCUGUAAGUGUUGUAUUUGAAUGCAAGCUCAGCCAUGUAAUGAUGCAGCCUAGGGAAGUAGAUGAGUUGGUGAAAGACAGUUCCGACAACAGGAUGGUAUCUCUUGUUCUUGUCACGCACCCUUCGGCCCCGGUGUCUUACCACAACAACAGCUAAAACUAACACUAAACUUAACACUAUAGCCGGGGAAGCAAAAUCCAUGACAGUGUUGAAGAAGAUUAUAGUAGCAGAGGAAGCUAGCUUUUCUGUUUCUGCCGACUUCCCUAUCCAACUAUAUAUCCAAGCUAGGUAUUUGCAUGGGAACUCAGCAGCAAUUGAACAAUAAUUGAGUAACAAUUCAAGCUAGGCUCCACUCCAAUAAUACAUUGAACUUGUUGGUGUGAUUGGAAAUGGCUGGCCAAAUCUCCGUUGCACAUUCCAUAUNNNNNNNNNNNNNNNNNNNNUUUCUUUUUUUGGGAGGGAUAGCAAACAUUACCGCCAAACUCAAUGUUACGUACAGCAGCAGAAAACAAAUCCAUGAAAACAAAAGGAGCACUCGUGACUUAAUUGUCUCUCUCAUUCGGUUUAGAUUGCAGGUCAAUAAUGUACGUUAUAUGGGUAUGGAGAUGAGCAAGGCUUGGCCGAAAGCACAACCGGUAACCAAUAUUGGCAAUCUACUUAACCAUGCAUUAAUUGGUGAUAGAUUACACACCCACUUUACUUUUCGUGCUCAACUAAAUCUGAUACGGUGUACUGUUCUUGUUUACAACCAAAUUAAUAUUUUAUUGGACAGUAAUUGUUUAGGUAAAUAUUAAUUAAAUUCAUGGUCCACGUCAUACCAACGAGCCUAAAAUAUUGGGUUUAUGGCCCGCCGGUGAGCUGGGUAGCAGAGUUCACAUGAAGUGUACUGACUUCGCGUAGAAGAUUGAGCGAGGCGAGAUGCCUUCGCGCGGGAAGACUUCGCCAGGAGAAGAGUUUACGUGUAUUAAGGUUUCUAUUCUUUAAAUCACAUGUAUGCAAGUGUAUGUACUCCCUAUGCGUGGCGAAGGAAAAUGCUUGCAGCUACAGUGAAGGCGAGAUGCAUGCGAAGAAUAAGGUUGCAUGCGAGAUGCUUGCAGGCGGAGAAAGAUGCUUGCAGGCGAAGAAUUAUAGACUUCGCAUAGAAGUGGAGGAGUCUUAAAUGUGGAGGCGAGAUGCGUGCGGAGAAAAGAUUAUUAAUGGCUACUCAUGCUGCCAUCACAAGAAGACCUAUAUGUCCUAUCUCACGUGCCAAUGUAAGUCAUUGUUUUGGCCACUUGGUCUACAGAGAAGAGUUCGCAUAGAGAUAGGAUUAAAGGACGUGUGAGCUGUGCCUUAGGUUUGGAUAAUUAUCUUUAUUUCCAUGAUUGCAUGCGAGAUGGUUCAUUAAGGAUCCUUAUCCUUAGUUAAACAUGAUUGCAUGGGGAGGGGUUCAUUAAGGAUCAUUAUCCUCAUUCAAGCAUAAUUGCAUGAGGAAGCUUACGUCCACAUCCGCGAAGGUGUUGUAGAGAGCAACUACUGUUCCUACAUUACAUCUAUGUUCAAGAGUUCGUGCCUUUGGAAUAGGGAUGACAAUAAUCCCCCAGCGGGUAGGGUACCCACGGGUAUUCGACCCUAACGGGGAAGAUAUACGGGUAUAAACGGGUAACGGGGAUGGGGAUCCUUAGUAUUCGGAUUCUUAAAUCGGGUACGGGGCGGGUAUGGUAUUUUGAUAUUCGUCCCCAUCCCCACCCAUUAAGGAUGAAAAUAUUAUUAUAUAUAAUUAUAUAAUUUAUUAUUAUAUAUAUUUAUAUAUAAUUUAUAAAUAAAUAUUUAUGUAAAAAAAUUUGUAAUUCUCUUAAUAAACAUUUAAUGGACCUUCCUUUUUAUUAUAUAUUUUUAUUCUCUUAAUGAAAUUUACCGGUAUUGUUAUGUUUUAACCAAGACUUGUAUUUAUUUUUAUUGGAUUGAAGUAUGAAACUUAUUUAUUUUGGUAUUUGAUUUUAAUUUCAUACUUUUAUAUAAUUGUAUUUCGUAAUUUAAAAAAAAAAAAUUUAAUUUAAUACAUAAUUGUUAACGGGUACGGGUACGGGUAUGGAAACGUAAUCCCCAAAGGGUACGGGUACGGGGAAUCUCCAUUAUCUAAUUACGGGUACGGGGAUGAAAAAUGUAAAAAGGUAUGGGUACGGUAUUUUGAUCCCCGUACCCUACCCUACCCAUUGCCAUCCCUACUUUGGAAACAUAAUUAGUCACGUCACCUACGAACUCAACGUUGAAGACUUCUACAAGUCUUUGACAUGUUUUGGGCCAAUACAUGUGGCCCUAAAUAGCUUUAUAUAAGAGAGUUCGAGGAUCUGGUUUAGCUCUACACAACAAACAAUACAACAACUCAACUUUACAAAAUACAAUACAAUUUUCGACCUAGUCGAACCUCAGACGCUCCCCGGAGCUUUCCUUUCGUUUCCCCGUACGCUCUCCGGAGCUUUCUCUUUUUUCCUCUCCUUCCCAAUUGAAGCUCUGCUCGAUCUUACGUCGAGUAUCGAUAUUGUGACGCUCAGGCGGACUACUGUAAGUCCUUGCCUAGUACGCAAGACGAAUCUGAAGAACUCUGCGGUGGAGUUGGUGCUUUCUCCAUCCUCAGUCGCUUGAUUAGAAGCGGAAGGCUAAGCGCACCCAGCUACUACAACCAUUACAUUCCGCAUCCGUGCGGUGGCACGCCUGCAACAACUAAAAGAGACUUUGCAUGCCCAAAAUUACUGGUGUGGCCAAAACAGUUCUAUUUGUUGAUCGGAUUUCAAGUGCUUUGUUUAGCGGAAAUUCUUCAAUGCAUCAAGAUCGAAGUGAACCAGUAAUUAAAAUGAAAUCUCAGCCGUUCAUUUGAUCAGCCCACUACAUGCGCACUAACUUCAAUAUUAACGUUAUUAACAAUAACCCAAAAAAAACAAAAAAAAAACGAAUUGAAACCAUAGUUAAUGUUAAGAACUGAAACCAAAGUAAAUAUUCGAUCGAGGAAGUGUUCAGACUUUAGCUCAAUCUCAUGAUUCUUGUGAAUUUUUUCGAAGAGGAGGAGAAUUUCGAGCUCGUAUUAAAUCACUUGUGUCCUAUGCUCGUCAAGAUGAUGUCGUUUUUGUCCGAUUAGAUUAUUCGACGAGAUGGAAUCGCCGAUCCUAUAUAUUUACAGAGCUCGGCGGCGAUGGAGAUGAGCCUUGGUUGCCAUGAUUCGAUCUGAAUCUAGUGGUGGACUGGUGGGUUUAGAGAAGAAAUGGAAGCGAGGUUUGUGAGACCCAGGAGAACUAGUUUCAUGAUUGAUAUAGUGAAGAUUCAAUCAUCAAAGUGGAAACCGGUGACAGUACAAAAAUGUGAAGAAGAAAAUUGAAAAAGGCGGUAUUGCUUUCCCAUAACCGAUUCAUGUGAAAUUUGAGAAGGGCAUAGUUGUCCCUUUCGAAAGGAAAGGCUAUUUUUGGUUGCCAACUACUUGGCAUUAAGAAUAGUUGAGAGAUGUAGAUGACUUGAGCUAAUUAAAGCAUAAGACUGAUCAUACUAGCUAGCUCACCACCUAAUUCCAUUUCAUCCAAACGAAUGCUAGCAUGCGACAGAUUGUGGUUGCUGCCGGAAUGCGACAUUUCAAUUCAUAAUCACCUAAGAAGCUAAUCUAGCUAGCUAGCUACUUGAAAUUUACUACUAAGCAUAUAUGAAGGACUUACGACUUACGAGUCAUCUUCUUUGAACUUCACAUGAAUUAUGAGCAUGGUAAUAGAGCAUCAAUUUUAGAACUAGCUAGGCAGCAAAACUGCGCGAUGUUGCAGGUAUAUCAUUGAUGUAUCUGGCAAUUAUGAUAGAGGCAAAAAAGUAAAUCAAUACAAUAUGAGAAGUAAUGUAGAGAAUAGAGAAUUGAGGUAAUUAGAUACCCUAAAACGAUAGAGGAUUACCACUGUACAUUCAACUGGUAAAAACACUGUAUUGCCCCCGGUUUGCAAACAAUUGCAACAAGGCCAUUGAUGAAUAAGUAUGGACACCUGUGGGCAUGUGCUGCUGAUACGUGUCUGGGUCAUUGACGUGUCGUCAGUGUCUUCUUCAACACAACGACGGGGUUCUUCUGCAUUCGCUUUUUGCCAGUUGAGAGGGAGAGAGAGAGGGAGAGGGGUUAUUCGUGAAGCGAAAAUCCGCAUUGCCAUUGUCAAUCAAAUCGUCGAGGUAUGGACUUUGCUCUGUAUAUGAUUGAUUUUGGGUUUUUGUUUCAUCUGUCCCGAUCGUCUUUUAUCUUUGUUUUGAUUCCAAUUUGCCUAUACUUUCAUCAAUUCGCAAAGUCUGGGUUUUUAAACGGAUUAUGCUUAGAUAGCGAUCGUUUUGCUCACAAAAUAAGGUAUUUAGUUGUUUGGUUAGUUGUAUAUGUAGUGUAGGUGGUGUUUUAUAAUUGGGAUCUGAAUUUGUCUCAUGAAAUUAGUUAUAGGAAAUGGGUGUUUCAGACCAUAAGCAUUGUGUUGCUUCACCAUUAUAGUUGAAGAUGUCCAAUCAUUUUCUACAGGUAGAAAGUAAAUCCAUGUCUUUUAACAUCAGUUUUCUGUCCAAUUCAAUCCAUAGUUGAAUUGUUAAGGUCAAAAGCUUUAAGAAAAGCAAGGAAAAAUAAAAAGAGCAAAACAAAGAUAAAGAAUAUUGUUACAAGUUGGCAAUUAGUGAUACAAUCAUCAUUAACAAACAGCUCCUCUUCUCAUCUACCACAUGUAUAUUAUCAUUAUAUAUCAGUUUCAGACAUUCAGCAACCUUUGAACAUACAUAUUGUUUACAUUUUUUUUAUAUAUAAUAACUUUGGAGCCAUACAUGGUUUGGCACAUAGAGUUAGAAAGAAACUACCAACUGCUCAAUUAUCAAGAUUAGAUCAAGAUAGAGAAAAACAAACAGAUGGAGAUGCUUCUAGGUUGUAUAUAUAUACAGCGGGUUUAUAUAUAUAUAUAUAUAAAAGAGGGUUUGCAUGAGUCUUUGUUGUCCAUAAUGCGUCCAUGAUGUCUUUCGACCUAAAAUCUUUGUUGUCAAUCUCAUACAUGGUUACAUAACAAAAAAGAGACAGUGUGAAAUACCUGAUGUGUUACCUAUGCGCAAAGCUAAUUACCAGAUUUUGAUGGGAUUCACUAAGAUAUAUUUAAUUUUUUAUCAAAUAUAUUUUAAAGUUUACUGUAUGUACAAAGCUAAUUUCCAGAUUUUCAAUUGUUACAAGUAUAUAUUUUAACGCUCAGUGUUUUUGUAAAAUAUUUUAACCUAUGUUUAGGUUACCUGUAUCACAUUAUGAGAAUUGGUUCAUUCCUUAUACUUUUAUAACAAUGUGUGAUGACUUUAUCAUUAGUAAUUCACAUGUGUAAUGACUGAAAAUAGUGAAAUAAAAACAGCUGAGAUGCAGCAAUAACAAUGUGUGAAAUGGCUCAGUUCCUUUUGCUUGGUUUAGAUCUUGCAUGCAUUCAUUCUGCGAGGAAAUGGAAGUUCCGAGGAAAGAUAGUAGUGUGAGUUGGUCUUGAUCUCAUUUUGUGGUGAGGGNNNNNNNNNNNNNNNNNNNNAUGCCUCACAAUCAGAGGAUCUUCAGUCUUUUAAGUCUUAGUCUGUUAUUCUUCUAUUCCAGUUAUCAUUUUAAAUCAAUGAACAUACCUCAUCCUGAAUAUUUUUAAUUCCUUAUUAAUCAUCUUUUCUGUAAGCUGAAAUAGUCGCAACUUUGUACGAGUCGAUAAAGGAGUUUGUGAAAGCUGGCAAUGAGGAGAAGAUAAGGUAAUGAUGUAAAUAUAAAUUGCUUGGUAUGAAAUUCUUUUCAUUUGGUAUUCUUAGCAAUCAAAUACGAUAUUUUACUGUUCAUUAUUAGAUCUCAUAUUCAUUUAAUGUGAGUAAUGUAUGGCCUCAUGUGAUGUGCUUAUACGACUUCUCUCUUAUGUUACUUAUGACACGAUGCAUGCAAAUUGCUUUUUGUACUCUUUAGGUACGUAGCAUGCAAAACUCCCAGAUUUCUGGGGUACCCUUUAAGGAGCUAUUAAUCUUUUCAUUUUUUCAGCAAAUGGAUGAACAAAGUUACAACAUGAUGCCAUAAUUUUACAUGAACCUUUUCUUUUAAUAUUUUCAUGGUCAUAAUGUGGGAUGAUUAAGGGCUUUAUUCAGGUUUCAGUCUAAUAUUGUCUUCCUAAAUGUAUGUGAAUGCAUAAAGGCCUUUUAGUUUAAAUUUUUGAUACCCUUGGCAUGUCUUACUGUUUUGUUUCAAACACUUAUAGGUUUCAGCGGUAUAAAUUUUCAGUUCAAAAAGAUUGACGUAAGAUCUGUAUUGCUGAGGCUUUUGAACUUGCUGUGAAUGUUACGUUUUAUUUCCCUUCCUGGAUAGAUUUGUUCGGUUUAUUUUAUUUGCUAAUAUACUUGCAUAAAAUUUUUGUACAUCAUAUCCACUCAUGCUUUGUCUGUCAUUUUUGUAUGAAACAUUUACGCAGUUAAGAUCUUCUGAUGCUAUUCUUCAUUUUGAAAAAUGUAAAAAAUUCUUCAUCGUACUGAGAUACAUGAUAGAGGUUAUGUUUUUUGGCCAGAGUUUAUUUUACCUUGAUUGUGAUCCCUUUUCCUCACAAAAAGGUAUUGCGUUGUUGUAUUCGUGAACAAUCAAGUUAUUUUAUUAUGCAUGCUUCAUUAUUGGUAUGAUUAUAUGUUAUUUAUGUUGAGUUCAUGUUCAGUUUUGCUCAUAUUAGUAAUCAUUAACAAAUUAUAUUCUUGAAUCCUGAUUAAAAGUGAAGUUGAGGAGUUUAUUAAGUCCUUUUUUCUUUUUUUUGCUCUAUUGUAAGGGGUGUUAGAAAGUCUUUAACAGUUCCAUUUCAUGGUACCUUUGGAAGAACAACUUUGUCAAAGUUUGUAUAUUUCAGAUCUCGACUUCGCUUUUCUGGAGAUGAAUCCUUUUGCAUUGGUUGAUGGAAAGCCAUAUCCUUUGGAUAUGAGAGGCGAGCUCGAUGACCCUGCUGUUUUCAAGAACUUCAAAAGUACAUUCAAUUUCUGUUGUUAUUACCCUCCCUGCUAAGUUAUUUGACGAAAGCUAUAUGAUACUAUCUAAUGUUUCUUCUGUUUAAGUGUACCAUUUUGCAACACCACCUUACAUGAUAUAAUUGUUUCAGGCGGGCUAAUAUUGAAUUUUCAAUGCCUUUUGGAAGAGUUACGAGUCCUACAUAAAAAAUUAUUCAUGGGCUAGAUGACAAGUACAAACAAUGAUUUACCCUAUCAGUGAUAGUUUUCAUGCGGGAUUUUAGUUGUAUGCAAUUUUAAUUUCUUUUAUUGUUCAUAAGGAAAUACCCCCAUAUUUAUGGGGAAAUACCUCGCAUUUAUGAUAGCCAUUUAGUAUCCCACUUUAAUCAGGUUGAUUUCUCAAUUGCUUACAGACAUGGGCAUCUUUGAAAUUUACAGUCGUGUACCCUAAGGGAAGAAUCUGGACUAUAGUUGCUGGAGUGUAAGAGUUAUAUAUGCUGACAUGGUGUGCUCAAUUAAGAUUCAAAAAUUUAACUAGAUUUAAACCUUGUUACUUAUGAACCAUUGGUUUUCCUUGGCAUUCAUUGCUCACACUCAAAGUAUAUUCCUUUAUCAGGUUGGAGAUCUUGGCUCUGCUAAUGAGCUUGAAAACUACACUGAAUAUAGUGGAGCACUAAAUGAGAAGGAGGUCUUGCCGUAGGCCAGAGUUGUGAUUGAUGUAAGAACUCUUUCACUCUUGGCAUUAUAUCACUUUAUCCACAGUAGAUGAAAUGCUACUUUCAUAUUUACCACAUCUCUGUUUUCCAUCAAAAACUUUUCACAAGCUUCAUGGCUUCUCUUUAAUACAUUUGGAAUGAAUUUGUUCAUAGUUUUCUGCCCUGAAGCUUAUUGAACAUGAAAAUAGGUUGUGGGUCUGUGGUGGUUUUUGUUAUUUGGGUUGCUGCCUUUUGCAUUUCUGGUAAGGGUUAUUAUUUUUUCGAUGAUUAUAUAUCAAUAUCUAUUCUGUAUUUUUUUUCUUCUCUGCAUCUUUUGUGUGGUUGCUGACUAAUCUACUCUUUCUUACUGUGACUUAUUAAUGGAUGACUAUUUUGUCUACACAUCUUCAGGUUGAUGUUCUUGGAGAAGGUCUUUUAAGCAGGUAUCCUCAAGUUCAAAGGACUUUCAUGCAUGAUGUUUUAUCCUCUCAGUCAUUUUCCUUUAUUGAUUUUAAUCUCUAUUUUAUAGGAAACAAGUGACCUUGGGACAAAAUUAGGUAAUCAAAGAAACUGGGUUUUUGUUUUCGGAUCCUGUUGAUUUACUGUUAAGUAUGUUUUAGAAUGCUUAUACUUGCUUUCAAAUCUUUGAAGAGUAAUGGGUUUCAGCUGGAAAUGGAGGAGAGAAGAAGUACAGACGUUGUCAUCGUUGUUUCCGGGGUUUUCGGUGCAGCUGUUGCCUACACUCUUGCAAAGGUCAGAUAAUGAUUUCAAUAUUUUUUUAAGGAAAAAAUUCAGUUUACUACCCUGAACUUUAGGUCUAAAAUCAGUUUGAUACCUCAUCUUUUUUUUUUAAUCAGUUUGAUACCUAAACUUUCAAAAUGACAUCAAUCUCGACCAAAAUGACUAAAAUAGCCCUGGUUAAUCUUUUUACCCUCUCUCUCUCUCCUGCCUCCAAAUCCACCACAUGGCCNNNNNNNNNNNNNNNNNNNNAAACUGUGAGAUAGUGAUUAUGAGAAACAGAAAAAUAAAAUAAUCGAAGCUGCACAUGUCCAGUGUUGUCCAGUCAUUGGGUAUCUUAUUGUGGCAUUUUAAUAGAGCUGUUUGUGGUAUUAUGUGCAAAAUGAAUCACAUCCGAGUUGUUAUGCUGGUGUAGGAACAUACAUUGCAUAAACAUUGCCUAGGGAACAUUAGAUUUAGAUUGAAACCAUGUUACCUCACACUGAUGGUUUGUGACUGGUGGGCGAUGUGGAUUCGAUAACAAUGAAGUUAUCUGUUUUUGACAAAACCUGUGAUGAUGGUAUUUGUGUAGUAACAUUUUCAUUAAUUAUUGAUUCUUCAAAUUCUCUGAAAACAGUAGUAAAUAUGUCUUUUGUAGUAGAUGUAUGAUUUUGUUUUUAGAAAGCCAUUUUAGCAAAGAUGAGAGUAGUUAUUUGAAGGCUUAUACUACUGUAACUUUUAUCAAGUGUACAGCUUAAACUCUACAAAGAAACUCUCCAAUAUUGUGUUCCUUGCCAACAGUAGUUUGAAAUUUGUGGGAAAUUAAGCUCGGUUGUUGAUGACAUUUAUAAUCUGUAUGGAUUGGUUUCUAUUGUGUGCUGAUAUGGGGGGUUCUGGGUUUUAAUUUGUUUGCAAUGUAGAAACUAUAUUAUUUCUAUUGAAAUGAUGCCUCACAAUCAGAGGAUCUUCAGUCUUUGAAGUCUUAGUCUGUUAUUCUUCUAUUCCAGUUAUCAUUUUAAAUCAAUGAACAUACGUCAUCCUGAAUAUUUUUAAUUCCUUGUGUAAAGCUAAUAUAAAUCAAUAAUUCCAGUUUCAGUAUCACCAAUAAUGGUCUUCCUAAGAUAUUGUUGCAUCAUUUUACCAAGCAAACUUUUAUUGAUUACAGUACGUAUGAAGAUGAUGCGCUGCAGUAGGUAAAGGAGUUUACUCAUCAAGACCAACCACUGGUGCACUGAAGUAGCUAUGGUAGUAAUGGCACAUGUCAUUUAAGGUCUUGCAUGCCAUAUUCUCGGGGAGGCAGUCACAUAGAGACCUCCAUCAAUUGGUAGGGUGAUCAUGGUCUUGUAAUUGACAAUAUUUUUCUCAUCAGCUAGCUUGAAUAUAUAGCUGCCUAAAAGCAUAGCAGAAAAUAUUUUCAUCUGCGUAUAGGCAUGUUCCUUUCCUAGACAAAUUCUUGGACCGGCCUGCAAUCACAUAAUCUCAUCAGAAGUCACAUUAUGUAGUGAGUCAGUGAUUUCAUUAUUAUCUUUUUCUUACACUGAAGGCUAUGAAUUUGAAAGGACUUUCAUCAUGGAAAAGGCCAUUUUCGUCGAGCCAUCUCUCUGGCCGAAACUCUUCUGCAUCAUCACCCCAUAGAGAUUUCAUCCUUCCCAUUGCAUACGGUUGGUAUACCACCAUGUCCCCAUUUUUGACACUAAAUCCAUCUGGCCAGGUAUCAUCAGAAAAACACAUCCUCAUGUUCUACGAAUGGCAGCAUCACACAAAACAAACUUGUUUAGAGGUAGAUUAUGUGAUUCAAGAAAUGCGAGGAAUUGUAACCUUGCAAGUGUCAGUUGAGAAUAUUAGAUUUAUAGACGUACCAUUGGAACUGCAGGAUAGAGUCUUAAUGUUUCUGUCAAAGCCGCAUGGAGAUAUUGCAUUUUGUUUAGGGCUUCAUCAGUAAGGAUUGCUGCAAGCUCAUCAACUCUUAAAUUAUCUUUCAAAUUUGUUACUUCUCUAACUUCUUUUGCAAUCUUCUCCUGUAUGUGAAGAUGCUUGCACAUCAUGUAAACAAACCAUGAAAGAGAGCUAGCUGUCGUGUCUUGGCCGGCAACAGUAACACAAAGGACCAUGUCUCUCAGGUACUUUGGAUCAGUAUCUUUCAUUUCCAAACGCCUUGAAACCAAGUCUCUUUUCUUCAGCUGACAUGGAUCCUCAUUACAUAUUUACAUUAGAAAUGAUAAACACCAAUUCAAUUCACUCUAUAUAUAAGCAAUAACAAACAAAUGAAGUGGAAGGUAACUCACAGAUAGAUUAUCUUCUUGAUUCUGCAUAGUUUCAAUCUUGCUAUUGAUUAAUUUAUACACAAAUUGAUCGACCUCUUUGAUGUUUUUCUUUAG